UAACUGUGUGGUUCCAGCUCACUUCAGUUUCCCCCUGCAGAAGGUCAGCUUGGUAAAGACGGAGUUUGGACAGCGACAGUGAAGUAAAAUGAAGAGGCGCUUAUUUACUGUUCGUACUGUUAACAUCAUGAUUUACUAUGUGCUAAUGUCUGCCAGCUGAGUGCACCUGCAGCCCCACCAGAUGCUUCUUUAACAACUUCACCAUCCUUGAAAUGUGUUUAGCAAGAUGCUAUUAUUGCAGCCUUACUCUUGGUGUUGGGUCUGGUAAAAAUUGACUGAUGUGCUACUAACUGACCCUUCAGUUCUUGACGUUUUGGGAACAUAGAGCCGUUUUAGCUGGGAAAUCAGUCUGAUGAUCAAUGACGGACGAAAAACGGACGAAAACCAAGGCAAGACAAAGAAUGAAAUAGACAAGACUGGUCGAAAAUAAUCAGACACAGCUGGGCAAGAUCGGGGAAGCACACAUGGAUAAUCAGGGGGCGUGGCACACACGAGGAUAAUCAGGGGGCGUGGCACACACGAGGAUAAUCAGGGGGCGUGGCACACACGAGGAUAAUCAGGGGGCGUGGCACACACGAGGAUAAUCAGGGGGCGUGGCACACACGAGGAUCGGACGAGCCGGGCAUGACAAUAUUAAUCCAUGCUUUGAAUCUGACAAAUUAAUCAAAUGAUUGACUAAAGCUUGAUGCACACAUUGCAAAAGCAUUUAUUCUGUUGCUCACGGAAGAAAGUAAGACAUUGAUGACCACCUGUGCACUUCCAAGCACAAAAUAUGGAUCAGGGCUGUGAGUGGAACCAGCUGAGUAUUGCAUUUGGCACUCUGAUUCCUGGUGAUAGGGAGCUAAAAUGGGCCACUCGAGGGCACCUUAGCUCACCGUACUGCGAAACAUGUGGGAUAAUUAGGACAUUCUGUGACAAGCUUUCCAUAUCUUAGUGUCUUAUUACCAAUGGUUUUUGCACAAUCGACUGACAAUGUUCAGUGAGUGCAUCGAGGUGCUUGAGAAACAGAAGUCCACCAUAGUUUACUUAGUAUUCCCCUUGAACAGCCUGCAGGAGAAGCUGAUUGAGAGGACCACAUGCUUCACUGGACUGAAGGACAACUUGCAUCAGGAAGGAUGUAGAGGAGAAGUUGCCAGAGUGCAUGAACUCCAGCGGACCACUGGGUGGAUAUAUUCACCACUAUCAGUCAGAAGCACAUCAUCCACAGAAAGAUGUCUUUUCUCAUUCAGUUUGCAGUGAGCUUUCCAGGCACCAGUGCAUCUGUGGGGAGGAUCUUCUCCAUAAUGAACAGUACUUGGAUGGAUGAGCAAAUCCAUAGAACCUUGCUCGCCACAAGUCAGAACCUGGACCACACUUUUACGGACUUGUAUAAGGAGAUCCUACCAAAGAAAAUGCUUUUGAGGAGCAUCCAUUCUUCAGUGAAUUUCAUAUGAACAUGUGAACCUUACAGUAUGAUAUAACUCCAUGCAUAUAAUAGUGAAUUAACAUUUAAUAUUGACCUUAGGAAACAAAGAAAAUGCACUGAAUUUGUCGAGAAAGCAACAGUGAAUAUUUGUACACUAUUGAAUAGCCUGAGUUUGUCCAUAGUCAGUAUUUAUACAAUGCACAUACAUUUCUUUCUUAAGUUUCUUAAAGCAUCAACGGUGAAUGUUAAUGCACUACUAAUUGCACUGAGAUGUUUAAAGGAAGUUCAAUUUAAAAAAUGUACAGUGAUUUGAUGUAGAAUAUGUGUUUAUUUGUGUAAGUGAUUAUUCCCCUGGGGGCGGCAUGGUGGUGCAGUGGUUAGCACUGUUGCCUCACACCUCUGGGACCUGGGUUCGAAUCUCCGCCUGGGUCACAUGUGUGUGGAGUUUGCAUGUUCUCUCCAUGUCAUCGUGGGGUUUCCUCCGGGUACUCCGGUUUCCCCCCACAGUCCAAAAACAUGCUGAGGCUGAUUGGAGUUACUAAAUUGCCCGUAGGUAUGCAUGUGUGAGUGCAUGGUGUGUGAGUGUGCCCUGUGAUGGGCUGGCCCCCCAUCCUGGGUUGUUCCCUGCCUCGUGCCCAUUGAUUCCGGGAUAGGCUCCGGACCCCCCGCGACCCAAUAGGAUAAGCGGUUUAGGAAAUGGAUGGAUGGAUGGAUGGAUUAUUCCCCUGAUCCCUUUCUGAUAAUGAUGAUGAUGAUGAUGAGGAGGAUGAUGAGACAAAGUGGUCAUUAACUGACUGAGGAAGGGCGCUAUGUGUGUGCAUGAGAUCACACAUGUACACACACGAGCUACACAAGUGUCCCGUUUUGGUGCUUUGAAAAUGUGGUCACUCUAGUUAAAUACUUAACUUGUCACAUCCCUACAUACAUUAAAUUAUUUGAUGAGAACUGGAGAGUUUGACUAGCCUCUGAACCUCCAUCCUCUCAACCAGCGCAAGCAGGAUCGUUAGUUUUGUUAUUGCUUGGUGAAGGUUUUUUUUUAAUGUCAAGAGUAACUAUUAUGAAAUAGUAAACCUGAAAGAGAUUGUUCCUGAGGUAAUGUACUCUAUGCCUUAAGAGAGACUCCAGCUGGAAUACACUUAAUCUAAUGAAUGCGGCAAAGGUAAUAUACAAUUUCAGAGUAAUGUAAUACAUAGUCUUACUCUCCAGCUAAUAGGCCAGUGAAAAUUGAGGAAUGUCCAGUUCAGUGUUUUUUAUGACUUUUUUCCUGAAGAUCAUAAAAGUAACAAAUGAACUUUUUACUCAAAAUA
This is a long non-coding RNA of Brienomyrus brachyistius, 2712 nucleotides long. RefSeq lists it as uncharacterized. The transcript has 2 exons. Lineage: Eukaryota; Metazoa; Chordata; Actinopteri; Osteoglossiformes; Mormyridae. The record is from RefSeq and is a predicted model, not a curated record.